ACGGAAGGCAGCAGUGGGGGAUAUUGCACAAUGGGGGAAACCCUGAUGCAGCGACGCCGCGUGAGUGAUGAAGUAUUUCGGUAUGUAAAGCUCUAUCAGCAGGGAAGAAAAUGACGGUACCUGACUAAGAAGCACCGGCUAAAUACGUGCCAGCAGCCGCGGUAAUACGUAUGGUGCAAGCGUUAUCCGGAUUUACUGGGUGUAAAGGGAGCGUAGGCGGCACGGCAAGCCAGAAGUGAAAACCCAGGGCUUAACUCUGGGAUUGCUUUUGGAACUGUCGAGCUAGAUUGCAGGAGAGGUAAGUGGAAUUCCUAGUGUAGCGGUGAAAUGCGUAGAUAUUAGGAGGAACACCAGUGGCGAAGGCGGCUUACUGGACUGUAAAUGACGCCGAGGCUCGAAAGCGUGGGGAGCAAACAGGAUUAGAUACCCUGGUA
RNAcentral lists this ribosomal RNA (434 nucleotides) under uncultured Lachnospiraceae bacterium. RNAcentral describes it as "partial 16S ribosomal RNA". It matches the Rfam family "Bacterial small subunit ribosomal RNA", at positions 341 to 792 of the family's 1533-position model. The record is from RNAcentral. Lineage: Bacteria; Bacillati; Bacillota; Clostridia; Lachnospirales; Lachnospiraceae.